CUUGACCUCGGAUCAGGUAGGGAUACCCGCUGAACUUAAGCAUAUCAAA
Molecule: ribosomal RNA, 49 nt
Filed under: Foliophoma fallens
Lineage: Eukaryota; Fungi; Ascomycota; Dothideomycetes; Pleosporales
Description: partial 28S ribosomal RNA
Source: RNAcentral